AAAUAUCUUGAUUGUUCUAAAUUGAAAUUUCAUGACAAAAUAAGUAAUGCAUCCUUAAAAAAAGGCUAUGUGUGCACUUGCCUCUAUUGGUUAUCAUCGACAGGCGUUUAAAAUGAUCGAAAAACUACUUAAAUUUCGCCUCGGUCUGCAAAUCCUGGCGAUAUGCGGCCACCAUGAACAAUAUUAAUAGUGACUUGGCUAGAGUUCCAUGGUUGAUGUUAGCCGAGGAAGAAGAUGGUGAAGGCAAUUCAUGUCGACAGUUGUUCAGCCUCUGUAAUGGCAUGAUUUUGAAGAAACGUGUAUCGGAAGCUAGAGGAAAUCGGUGCAAUUGAUGUUGUUUAUUUUAAUGGUCAAUUUUAUGCAAUUGAGCGUUUGGGGCGCGUAGUGGUUUGCAAUGCUGCUGGUCCUGAACCCUCUCAAACUCAAUUAGUAGCAAAGCUACCAUCAUAUCGACAUUUUGACUGGCACAUUAUAGAAUCACUUGGAUCAUUGUUUAUAGUUGCGAGACAAGUUGAAGAGGUACACCACUUAAGCCUAAUUAGGGACUACAUGAUUCCGCUGGUAUGCAUCCCAGAUCAUCAUGACGAGGAGCUACUGAAUAAUAUUGAGGUCGAUAUAUAAGCCAAUGCAUCUAGUAUUCAUGCUCUACUGACUAUCCUGAUCUAUUUAUACUGUUUGAAGUUAGUGUUAUUUUUGUAUAGUAAUUGUUAAUUGAAUUGAUUAUUGAUUGCUUUAACUAUGCACAAAUUCCCAGUCAAGUUGGAUAAAUGGCCAGGUGCAAAGGUUUCAUGCUUGAGGUCUUUUUGCUGACGAUACAAUGCACAAAAUGAUAAUCUGGGUGAGUUUACUUCAAACUGACCUAGCACAAGUAUUUCACAAUAUCUGUCCCUCAAAUAAGUUCCACAAAAAUAAACAUAUAUAAAAUGAAGUGCCAUGUGCCUUAUAAUUGAGUUUCAUUUUCUGGUAAUUCGCCAAGGUAAUACUCCCAGAAGACAUCCUUUAUUGGGUUUUGGUAUCUGAUCCUUUUAUGUCUAAGAGGUAUUUCAGUUACAUAAAUAUCGUUGAGGCAUUUGCUUCCUGCACAUAGCAUUUUGCCUCUAGCUAGUCAUAGAGGCAUUUGCUUAAGUUCAAUGCAGCCAUAUUCGGAGCUGUUUAGAGAAAAGCAAAAGACGCUAUAAAGAUGCCUUUAUUUGGGAAGAGCUUGUCGACCUGCAAUAUUUGCAGCUGCCUUGUCAGUCCACGUUGGUUUUAGAUUUCUUUCCCAAGUCUGGAUUUUCUAUUUAGGACAACAAAUUUAUGAGUUUCAAGCUCGGUUUAGAAUGCUGGAAAAUAGACUAAGAGAAUGAGGGAUGGUGCUUUUCUUUCGGAUCAACAUUCAUCUCUUUUAGCCCAGUCCUAGCUUUUCAGUUUCCUGAAAUCAAGCCAACUCAUAGUUAUUCUGCUGUUGAUUGUUGGCAACAUACCUCCAUCACGAUGAAGGAGAGGGCUUGGACAUGGUGCCAUCAAUCCUGUCUAAGCACCUACGCAGGUUAUUAUUUGAUACAAGCUGUUUCGGAAACAAGUACAAUGAAUAUCAGCAUAGCAUAUAGGAAAAAGGUUGCUCUGUUCAACUUGCUGUAUUUCUUUAACUUUUGAUAAUCGAAACAUUUAUGAACAUGCUCUGGAUAAACAUAUUUGAGAAUCUGGACUAAAAGAGUUAUGUGAUGUGCAGUAGAUUUCGAUUAAAGAGGUAUUUCUGGAAUAAUGUGAAUCUUGUAUUUCAUUGUUGUUAUCCUGCCUUGUUCUAUUUGUGAAAGAAAUGCAUAUAUGCCAGCUAUUUUCUGUUGUGACCAACUAUAUGUGAUUGAGCCAAGUAUAUGCCUCUGUUUAAACUAGGUUACUUUGUUUUCUCGAAUACUUUGAGGUUUUCUUAAACUAGGUUACUCAUGUUCUAGAAGUUUUUUCUUAUCUACUGAGGUAUUCCUUCGAUUUUGAACAAGUGAGAAGGGAAAAGUUAUUAGCUUAUUCUCCAUUCAACAUCAUUUUGACUUGUGGAAUCUAUCACUCAUAUUAGCCUUCCUGAUAUGUUGCCUGUUUUGUGAUAUUUGAAUAUGUUUGCAGUUGCACUGGAAUGAAAUAUUGAUUCCAUAGUAACCUCCCUGGAUGCCACAUACCCCUGAAAAGUUUAUGCAUCCUAGUGUUUUCGAUGCAAUGAGAGGCAUUUGAGGAACAUGUUUAUGUAUAGAAUCAUGGUAAGAGCUUAAGGUAACAGAUUUUCAGAAGCUUUAAUUUCUUCUUUUACUUGUUUGAAAUAGGCCUGUCAUUCUUCUAGCAUCCAGCUUCUAGGUUCCGUUCCAUAGUUAAAGUUUCUAUGUUA
Molecule: long non-coding RNA, 2356 nt
Organism: Nicotiana attenuata
Lineage: Eukaryota; Viridiplantae; Streptophyta; Magnoliopsida; Solanales; Solanaceae
Exons: 2
Source: RefSeq, a predicted model, not a curated record